This 521-nucleotide ribosomal RNA is filed under the name uncultured bacterium. RNAcentral's name for it is "partial 16S ribosomal RNA". It matches the Rfam family "Bacterial small subunit ribosomal RNA", at positions 29 to 523 of the family's 1533-position model. The record is from RNAcentral.
AACGAACGCUGGCGGCGUGCCUAACACAUGCAAGUCGAGCGUGAAAGUCCCUUCGGGGGCGAGUAAAGCGGCAGACGGGUGAGUAAUACAUAGGUAAUCUACCUUCGAGAUUGGGAUAACCCCGCGAAAGUGGGGCUAAUACCGGAUAAGACCACGUGCCUUACGUUGCGCGGUAAAAGGUGGCUUUUUCUUCGGAUGAGGCUAUCACUUGAGGAUGAGCCUAUGGCCUAUCAGCUUGUUGGCGGGGUAAGAGCCCACCAAGGCUAUGACGGGUAGUUGGUCUGAGAGGACGACCAACCAAACUGGAACUGAGACACGGUCCAGACUCCGACGGGAGGCAGCAGGGGGGAAUAUUGGGCAAUGGGCGAAAGCCUGACCCAGCGACGCCGCGUGGGUGAUGAAGGCCUUCGGGUUGUAAAGCCCUGUCAUGCGGAAAGAACAGUCUCAUGGCUAAUAUCCAUGAGAUUUGACGGUACCGCAGGAGGAAGCACCGGCUAACUCCGUGCCAGCAGCCGCCGUAA